Octopus bimaculoides (California two-spot octopus) is the source of this 376-nucleotide long non-coding RNA. The record is from RefSeq and is a predicted model, not a curated record. Lineage: Eukaryota; Metazoa; Mollusca; Cephalopoda; Octopoda; Octopodidae.
UCACUGGCCUUGAAGAGUCUGCCAAAGAAUUACUUCUAGCAAUGAAAAAGCGCAUUCUUCUGUUGAGCAUAGAAGGGAGGUAACUACUGAAUGCUAGAACCAAAAAUGAAAAACCAAAAAAGUCAAGAAACUGAGAACACCUGAACAAACAUAAACAAAUGAAAGUAAGAUGGCCGUUUCAUGUUGAUCUUGUCUGGAAUGUGACCAGAGUUGCGUUUAAUUUUCCUGGAAUAGGAAGCUGAGAGUUUAAGAAGUGAGUUGUUUUAAAGGUCCAUAAGAAUUACUUUAUAUAUCUGGGCACCUCAUAACACAAAAUGAAGAAGCCUACCUGUGACCUUUGUGGAAAGAUGUUCUCUCGCCGAGACAACAUGGAGAG